Molecule: long non-coding RNA, 147 nt
Organism: Notolabrus celidotus (New Zealand spotty)
Lineage: Eukaryota; Metazoa; Chordata; Actinopteri; Labriformes; Labridae
Exons: 2
Source: RefSeq, a predicted model, not a curated record
GGUAAAUAUCUUCAUGCAAUUCAACAAAAUGUCACAAAAUGUUCCUCAGUUAUGGAGAUUUGCUGCUUUUCCUCCACACAGGUUCACAUUUUCAUAUCUUGCAUGCUUUUAAGUGACAUAUUUAUCAAAUAAACAACCCAAGUUCCU